AACGAACGCUGGCGGCAUGCCUAACACAUGCAAGUCGAACGAGACCUUCGGGCCUAGUGGCGCACGGGUGCGUAACGCGUGGGAACCUGCCCUUAGGUUCGGAAUACCUCACCGAAAGGUGAGCUAAUACCGGAUAAUGUCUUCGGACCAAAGAUUUAUCGCCUUUGGAUGGGCCCGCGUUGGAUUAGCUAGUUGGUAGGGUAAAGGCCUACCAAGGCGACGAUCCAUAGCUGGUCUGAGAGGAUGAUCAGCCACACUGGGACUGAGACACGGCCCAGACUCCUACGGGAGGCAGCAGUGGGGAAUAUUGGACAAUGGGCGAAAGCCUGAGCCAGCAAUGCCGCGUGAGUGAUGAAGGCCUUAGGGUUGUAAAGCUCGUUUACCCGGGAUGAUAAUGACAGUACCGGGAGAAUAAGCGCCGGCUAACUCCGUG
RNAcentral lists this ribosomal RNA (433 nucleotides) under uncultured bacterium. RNAcentral describes it as "partial 16S ribosomal RNA". It matches the Rfam family "Bacterial small subunit ribosomal RNA", at positions 29 to 507 of the family's 1533-position model. The record is from RNAcentral.